RNAcentral lists this ribosomal RNA (432 nucleotides) under uncultured bacterium. RNAcentral describes it as "partial 16S ribosomal RNA". It matches the Rfam family "Bacterial small subunit ribosomal RNA", at positions 29 to 506 of the family's 1533-position model. The record is from RNAcentral.
AACGAACGCUGGCGGCAUGCCUAACACAUGCAAGUCGAACGAGACCUUCGGGUCUAGUGGCGCACGGGUGCGUAACGCGUGGGAACCUGCCCUUAGGUUCGGAAUAACUCCCCGAAAGGGGUGCUAAUACCGGAUAAUGUCUUCGGACCAAAGAUUUAUCGCCUUUGGAUGGGCCCGCGUUGGAUUAGCUAGUUGGUAGGGUAAAAGCCUACCAAGGCGACGAUCCAUAGCUGGUCUGAGAGGAUGAUCAGCCACACUGGGACUGAGACACGGCCCAGACUCCUCCGGCGGGCAGCAGUGGGGAAUUUUGGACAUUGGCCGAACACCUGAUCCCCCAAUGCCCCUUGGGUUAAUAAGCCCUUAGGUUUGUAAAGCUCUUUUCCCCGGUAUAAUACUGACCGUCCCGGGAGAAUAAGCCCCCGCUACCCCCGU